GGGGCGGAAGGGGGCGUGGCCGGCCGGGAGCCGGACGCGGGUGGAGAGGCGCGGGCAGCGGGCGUGGAAGGGAUAGGAGGGGGCCUCCGUUGCGCCGCCUCUGCUUGGAGUACUUGGGAGGAAAGAAAUCCAGUCUGUAAAGCCUGAUGAAAUCAGCCGGAAGGAUUACCCAGGGAUGAGACGAGGUUAUUAUAAAAUAUCUGCUGGAGCCACCACGCAGAUCUUGUGAGCUCGGAAGCUAGUGUUCCGUGUCAUCAUGGGCUCCGUUUGGUCACCCUGUGAAGUGACUCAGAUGAGUUGCCUGUCUUCGAGGCCUCGGCUCCUUCCUUUUCUCCUUCCUAAUGUCCGCAUUAGGUGUUCCCACAGCAUGCUGUGCACACCUUAUCCAAGCUCUUAAUGUACUCUUGUCUGAUGAGUGCCUUAAAGGGAUAUUUGUAAAGGAAACAGCUUUGGAAGAAUGAGAUGACCGUCUCCCUCCAAUGCCAAAGCCAGAUUUGUUGCCGUCAAGUAUAUUGAAGAUUUAAUGUCGCCCUCUGAGGCAAAGCCUGGACACUUUGGCCUGAAGUCCAUGAUGAAAGCCUGAAGUUUCCUAAGCUCAGGCUUCCUCAGCAGUGAUACAAACCCAUUGCAUGUGCAGCACCCGCCCGCCUGGACUACCAUCACGGGACUUGGGAGGCGAGGAAAACUGAAGGGGUACGAGGCUCAGGCUGCUUGCUGUGCUGUGAAUAAUCAAAGUCCUCUGUCUCUGAUCCCAGUACUUUCUGCCAGCACUUAGGAAGCUGUGUUAGCUUGUUAGCCCGGAAAGAGGGUAAACUCUUACACAAUUUUUCAUCAAGCUGCAAUGUUUAGCUUAAAGCAUAUGUUUAUUAUAUAUUUGUUGAAUUAAUUAGUGAACACUGUAUGACCCUUUGCUCAAGUUGUUGUAUAUAAGACAAUUUUUGUUAUCUCUUUAGGUCUCCAGGCUAUACAUUUCCAGCCUUCACACACACACACACACACACACACACAACCUAUUGGAAACAAAUUCAAGUUCCUUUAUAUUUGGCUGCUCUUAAGCAUGAUACAGUUACUUACCCAGAGAGUGGUCAAUCAUCUCAUUCAUUUUAAAUGUUGUAACGCAGCUACUACUUAUUGCACGUACACCUAUAUUGCCAGACAAAAUGUUAGGGUCACAUAGCUUGUAUAUCUCAAAGCUCCAGAGGACAGAGAUUUUGUCUUUUUUGUUGUAGACUAUACCCCAGUGCCCAGGGAAGUGCCUGGAAGUAGUUGGCUGUCGAUAAUAUUCAUUGAAUAAAUUGCCAGGGCUUGCAGUGAAUCACAUAUAGAGGCAGGGGUGAAUGAGAACAAGCAUGAAUCUUAUGUUCGGCAUAAGCAACAGGGGAAAAGCCAGUGCCACUUAUUAAUGUGGAGAACACUAGGGGAGAAGCAAGUUUGAGAAAGGAAAUUAAUUUUGAGCAUGAACAUGUUGAGUUUCAGAUAUCUGUAAAAUGUGCAAAUAGAGGUGUUUGAGUGGGCAAGUGUAUAUAUAGACAUAAAGCUCAGAGAAGAGAUUCCAUCUGGAGGUAUACAUGUGGUAUUCACAGCCUCCCAAAAUUGAUGGAUUUGAAGCCUGGGAGUGGGUGAGGUUGUUACUGGGGAGGAGCAUGUGGAGGGACAAGAAAAGAGAGCCUAGAACUUAGACUUAGAAACUUAACAAUUUAAUGGUUUUAUAGAAAAGGAUCCCCUAAUGAUUCUCGUUAGUGGCCUGACACAUUGAAGCAAAACCAGGAAAAUGAAAGCAAGAGAAGCUAAGAAAGAAACUGAGUCAAAAAGAAGGGAUGGACAAUGAUGUUCCAUGUUGAUAAGAGAUCAAGCAAGUUGUAUCUGGCAGUAUGAAGGUCACUGUUGACGUAGCAAGAGCCCUUUCACCGAAUGGUGGUAUAGAAGACUGGGCCAAAUUUAAUGGUAACUGGUGGUAAAGUAGUGACUGGUUAUUGAAACUGAGGAAGCCUGACUGUGAAUGGGAAGAAAGAGGUAAGGCAGUACUGGACGGCAAGGGGUUUGGGAGUCCAAGUAGAGUUUUUGUUGGUUUGUUUUUUAAAAUGGAAGAUACUUGGGGCACCUGGGUGGCUCAGUCGGUUGAGCGUCCAACUUCGGCUCAGGUCAUGAUCUCACAGCUCGUGAGUUCAAGCCCCGCGUCAAGCUCUGUGCUGACAGCUCAGAGCCUGGAGCCUGCUUCGGAUUCUGUGUCUCCCUCUCUCUCUGCCCCUAACCCACUCGCAUUCUGUCUCUGUCUCUCUCAAAAAUAAAUAAACAUUUAAAUAAAUAAAUAAAUAAAUAAAUAAAUAAAUAAAUAAAAUGGAAGAUACUAGA
Molecule: long non-coding RNA, 2352 nt
Organism: Acinonyx jubatus (cheetah)
Lineage: Eukaryota; Metazoa; Chordata; Mammalia; Carnivora; Felidae
Exons: 2
Source: RefSeq, a predicted model, not a curated record